UGCACUGGUUUUCGUUGAUUCAUAGUGUUCUGAMGAAUCGACUCGCAAGAGUCGAUGGGGCUAUCAAGUUUCUGACCUAUCAGCUUCCGACGGUAGGAUAUUGGCCUACCGUGGUUUUGACGGGUAACGGAGAAUUAGGGCCCGAMMCCGGAGAGGGAGCCUGAGAAACGGCUACCACAUCUAAGGAAGGCAGCAGGCGCGUAAAUUACCCAAUCCUGACACAGGGAGGUAGUGACAAGAAAUAUCAAUAUAAGACGUUUCUGUCUUGUAAUUGGGAUGAGCUG
This 284-nucleotide ribosomal RNA is filed under the name uncultured eukaryote. Its description in RNAcentral is "partial 18S ribosomal RNA". It matches the Rfam family "Eukaryotic small subunit ribosomal RNA", at positions 234 to 523 of the family's 1831-position model. The record is from RNAcentral.